UACGGAGGGGGCUAGCGUUGUUCGGAAUUACUGGGCGUAAAGCGCACGUAGGCGGCUUUGUAAGUUAGAGGUGAAAGCCCGGGGCUCAACCCCGGAAUUGCCUUUAAGACUGCAUCGCUUGAAUCCAGGAGAGGUGAGUGGAAUUCCGAGUGUAGAGGUGAAAUUCGUAGAUAUUCGGAAGAACACCAGUGGCGAAGGCGGCUCACUGGACUGGUAUUGACGCUGAGGUGCGAAAGCGUGGGGAGCAAACCGG
RNAcentral lists this ribosomal RNA (253 nucleotides) under uncultured bacterium. RNAcentral's name for it is "partial 16S ribosomal RNA". It matches the Rfam family "Bacterial small subunit ribosomal RNA", at positions 524 to 776 of the family's 1533-position model. The record is from RNAcentral.